This 407-nucleotide RNase P RNA is filed under the name bacterium. RNAcentral describes it as "RNase P RNA component class A". It matches the Rfam family "Bacterial RNase P class A". From Rfam's summary of the family: Ribonuclease P (RNase P) is a ubiquitous endoribonuclease, found in archaea, bacteria and eukarya as well as chloroplasts and mitochondria. The record is from RNAcentral.
CGUUCAUUACGGGCAAUCGCCCGACUUCGGUCGGAGAGGAAAGUCCGAACACCUUCCAGACAACCGGUCUGGAAAAGUGGCAGUGGGUAACCCCCACCCGGUGCAUCGUAAGAUGUAUUGCGGGAUAGCGGCACAGAGACAAUACUACCCUGGCCUCGUGUCAGGGGAAAGGUGAAAAGUGCAUGAAGGUUGUGGCUCUCGAGACCAAAGCCAUCAUGCUCACAUUGUGGUGACACAAUGUCGUGCCAAGCCCUGCCUGGUGCAAGAGCAGCCUCAUUCACGAUUGUGAAUUUGGGAAAGUUCGCUCGCACAGAGAUCAAUAGUAAUAUUGACCCUAGAUAAAUGAUUGCCUCUUUUCAACUUUUGUUGAGAAUAGACAAAAUUCGGCUUACAGUAAUGAACUAAAA